RNAcentral lists this ribosomal RNA (468 nucleotides) under uncultured bacterium. Its description in RNAcentral is "partial 16S ribosomal RNA". It matches the Rfam family "Bacterial small subunit ribosomal RNA", at positions 28 to 507 of the family's 1533-position model. The record is from RNAcentral.
GACGAACGCUGGCGGCGUGCUUAACACAUGCAAGUCGAACGGAAAGGCCCUGCGUUUGUGGGGUGCUCGAGUGGCGAACGGGGGAGUAACACGUGAGUAACCUGCCCUUGACUUUGGGAUAACUUCAGGAAACUGGGGCUAAUACCGGAUAGGAGAUCCUGCUGCAUGGUGGGGGUUGGAAAGUUUCGGCGGUUGGGGAUGGACGCGCGGCUUAUCAGCUUGUUGGUGGGGUAGUGGCUUACCAAGGCUUUGAAGGGUAGCCGGCCUGAGAGGGUGACCGGCCACAUGGGGACUGAGAUACGGACCAGACUCCUACGGGAGGCAGCAGUGGGGAAUAUUGCCCAAUGGGCGGGAGCCUGAUGCAGCAACGCCGCGUGCGGGAUGACGGCCUUCGGGGUGUAAACCGCUUUCGCCUGUGACGAAGCGUGAGUGACGGUAAUGGGUAAAGAAGCACCGGCUAACUACGUG